AGAGGCUCAAGUUGAUGAACCCCGGCGUAAAGAGUGGUUAAGGGAGAUCAAAACUAAAGCCGAAUGCUUUCAAAGCUGUUAUACGCUUCCGAAAGUAAGAAGCCCAAUCACGAAAGUGGCUUUACUUUACCUGACCCCACGAAAGCUACGACACAAACUGGGAUUAGAUACCCCACUAUGCCUAGCCUUAAACAUUGGCAACACUUUACACCUGCUGCCCGCCAGGAAACUACGAGCAUUA
This 241-nucleotide ribosomal RNA is filed under the name Lepomis macrochirus (bluegill). Its description in RNAcentral is "partial 12S ribosomal RNA". Lineage: Eukaryota; Metazoa; Chordata; Actinopteri; Centrarchiformes; Centrarchidae. The record is from RNAcentral.